RNAcentral lists this transfer RNA (74 nucleotides) under Pelecanus crispus (Dalmatian pelican). It matches the Rfam family "tRNA". Rfam says of the family: Transfer RNA (tRNA) molecules are approximately 80 nucleotides in length. Their secondary structure includes four short double-helical elements and three loops (D, anti-codon, and T loops). The record is from Rfam by way of RNAcentral. Lineage: Eukaryota; Metazoa; Chordata; Aves; Pelecaniformes; Pelecanidae.
GCUGGGUUAGCUCAGUUGGUUGGAGCGUGGUGCUAAUAACACCAAGUUCACAGGUUCAAUCCCUGCUCACUGCA